Molecule: long non-coding RNA, 1117 nt
Filed under: Brassica napus (rape)
Lineage: Eukaryota; Viridiplantae; Streptophyta; Magnoliopsida; Brassicales; Brassicaceae
Description: long non-coding RNA (BNAP_LNC015345)
Source: RNAcentral
UGCCAUUGCACAAUUUUGGUGGAGCUCGAAUCCACCAAAGAGAGGAAUACACUGGGCGAAAUGGGAAAAAGUCUGUCUACCAAAAGAAGAGGGCGGGAUUGGUUUCCGUUUGAUCCAUGAAUUUAAUCUAGCACUAUUGGCAAAGCAACUUUGGAGAUUGACUCAGUACCCUGAUUCACUGGUUGCCCGAGUUUUGAGAGGCAGGUACUAUAGGAUGACCUCGCCAUUACGAGAAGUCUCUGCAAGUAACCCAUCAUAUGUGUGGACAAGCAUUUAUGCUGCAAGAAAGCUUUUGCUUCUCGGGAUCAGACAGAAGAUUCAUUCUGGUUAUGAGAUCAAGGUGUGGGAGGACCAAUGGAUCCCAACGAUACCUGCUAGACCAGCUACACCUGUAGCACCUGUAAUGCAUCCGAAUAUGAGAGUUAGUGACCUCAUUAACCAAGAAUUGAAGGAAUGGGAUGUAGGGCUACUAGAGAAUUAUGUCCACCCCGAUGACAUACCACUCAUUCGUAGUAUGGCUAUAAGUUCUGCCCAUCGCCGUGAUACCUUCUGCUGGAACUACACGAAGAAUGGCCAAUACACUGUUAAAUCUGGAUACUGGGUUGCUCAAAACCUGAUGAAGCCAGAAGAGGACAAGAAAAUACUGGAACCAAGUAUUACUAAACUCCAAGCCUUUGCUUGGACGUUGAAAGCACCAAGAAAGAUGUGUCAUCUUAUAUGGCAAUUGAUAACGGGUCAGGUGGCAGUGACGAGGAAUCUCGCAAGGCGGAAUAUGAGGUGCGAUAAUUAUUGCCCAAGGUGUGGAGAACUAGAGGAAUCUGUAACACAUGCAAUAUUUGAAUGCCCUCCGGCUCUCCAAGUGUGGUCCUUAUCAGCAACUCCUACGAGCACAGGUAUAUUCCCAGUGGCCAGCGUCUACACAAACAUGGACUAUCUAUUCUGGAGGAAGAAUGAAAUCUUAGCGCCAGACCAAGACAGGGAUCCUUAUCCCUGGUUAAUAUGGUAUAUUUGGAAGGCUCGUAAUGACAAACUUUUUAGGGGAAUAGAUAGAGACCCCUUGGAACUAGUUCGAUAUGCAGAAAGUGAAUGUCAAGCCUGGUUCAUUGCAAACGAGAUG